This 926-nucleotide ribosomal RNA is filed under the name uncultured bacterium. RNAcentral describes it as "bacterial SSU rRNA". It matches the Rfam family "Archaeal small subunit ribosomal RNA", at positions 1 to 930 of the family's 1478-position model. The record is from RNAcentral.
CGAGAAUUCUGGUUGAUCCUGCCAGAGGCCACUGCUAUCGGGGUUCGAUUAAGCCAUGCGAGUCGAGAGGUGCAAGACCUCGGCGCACUGCUCAGUAACACGUGGAUAACCUACCCUCAGGAGGGGGAUAACCCCGGGAAACUGGGGAUAAUACCCCAUAGGCCAGGGACGCUGGAAUGCCUCCUGGUCGAAAGGUCCGCCGCCUGAGGAUGGGUCUGCGGCCGAUUAGGUUGUUGUUGGGGUAACGGCCCAACAAGCCUUUGAUCGGUACGGGUUGUGAGAGCAAGAGCCCGGAGAUGGAUUCUGAGACACAAAUCCAGGCCCUACGGGGCGCAGCAGGCGCGAAAACUUUACAAUGCGAGAAAUCGUGAUAAGGGAACCCCGAGUGCCCGUAAAUUCGGGCUGUCCGCCAGUGUAAAUAACUGGUGAAGAAAGGGCCGGGCAAGACCGGUGCCAGCCGCCGCGGUAAUACCGGCGGCUCGAGUGGUGGCCACUAUUACUGGGCUUAAAGCGUCCGUAGCUGGAUUGUUAAGUCUCUUGGGAAAUCCACCGGCUCAACCGAUGGGCGUUCAGGAGAAACUGGCAAUCUAGGGACCGGGAGAGGUGAGAGGUACUCCAGGGGUAGGAGUGAAAUCCUGUAAUCCUUGGGGGACCACCUGUGGCGAAGGCGUCUCACUAGAACGGCUCCGACAGUGAGGGACGAAAGCUGGGGGAGCAAACCGGAUUAGAUACCCGGGUAGUCCCAGCUGUAAACGAUGCGCGUUAGGUGUAUCGGUGACCACGAGUCAUCGAGGUGCCGAAGGGAAACCGUGAAACGUGCCGCCUGGGAAGUACGGUCGCAAGGCUGAAACUUAAAGGAAUUGGCGGGGGAGCACCACAACGGGGGGAGCCUGCGGGUUAAUUGGACUCAACGCCGGGAAGCUCAC